UUCAGAUUUGACUGGGUUAUGACUCAGUGAAACAGUAUGAUUUCUACCCUGCUGCGGCCCAUGACUCACACCUCGCCCUCCGUUCCCCUUUCCUUCAAGCGUCCCAGACCUCCUGGGGAGAUUAGACGCUUGUUGCACUGCCAUCAAGUGGCCAACAAAUCAUUUCAGGAGUGACCUCCUCCUCCUCUCUCGGAUAGUGGAUCUCCAGCACUGUGUUGACGUCUGAGGGUUCCAGGGGUCGAGCCACCGAGCGGCCGUCUGGCCAGUACACCUCGACGUUCGUGGCAACAUCCUUACCUGGUCAGACGUACAGCACAGUCACAGCACAUACGAACACUCAGAGGAACAUGCAUGCAUCAUUGUGUGAUUUUCAGGAGAUGCUGUAGUCUCACGUGGCCUUUCUCUUCCUCUCUUUCAGAUAGGGAGUGGCACCGUCUUCACUUCUCUCUCCAUUAACCAUUUUUUAUCAGGCAGAGAGAAAGCCCCUCUCCAGAGGGCCUCUGCAGCACUUAAUUAAAGUGGCAUUUCCAAUAUAAACAGAUCUUGAGUUACCUUGCCAGGCAGUGAUCUGCUCAGCAGGUGUGCUGCCCUGAGAGCCAAAGAAUAUUUCACCUGCUCUGAACUGCACGGCGCCCUCUUGUUUAGUGGUGGGGGUUGUAUCACAUGUCUACCAGUCUGCUCUGAGGCCACGAUGGAGUGGAAGAUUAGCUCUUGGAGUGUGUGAUGAGUAAUAAGGCAGUAAAAUCAAGGGCCUCCAGAGAUGAUCUGUGCUUGGAGCCGUUCCCAGGUAGCCGGGCUGGAUGACCAGCAGCUGACGGUCCCAUGGGGCCAGAAGGAGCUGGUUCCAGUCUGGCUUCCAGCGGCAACACCUGUCCCCCCAUCUCUCUUUACUCUCCCAUGGGUGUCCAAUCAAGCUGGAGGUAUAAUAAAACAAUGCUUUCCACAUGGGGCUGUCAUUAUCCUUCUCGCUGCUACGCUCUGUAGAGCUGAUUCUGUCACCCAUUUCUCUCUGUCUGUCUAUCCCUUACCCAUCUGUCCCAAGCAGUGGCGCUAAAAAUGGGAAGUCAACUAAGCAGUUAAUCAAUCAACAGAGACUAAAUGAACAUCAAGUAUUUAUCAUAUUUGAGAAUGUGCUGCUUUUUACCAAUUUAAAGGUCCCAUAAUAUGAAAGACACAUUUCUCAGGUCUCUACAUAC
Long non-coding RNA from Acanthopagrus latus (yellowfin seabream), 1196 nucleotides. RefSeq lists it as uncharacterized. The transcript is spliced from 3 exons. Lineage: Eukaryota; Metazoa; Chordata; Actinopteri; Spariformes; Sparidae. The record is from RefSeq and is a predicted model, not a curated record.